This 301-nucleotide ribosomal RNA is filed under the name uncultured bacterium. Its description in RNAcentral is "partial 16S ribosomal RNA". It matches the Rfam family "Bacterial small subunit ribosomal RNA", at positions 509 to 809 of the family's 1533-position model. The record is from RNAcentral.
CAGCAGCCGCGGUAAUACGUAGGGCGCAAGCGUUGUCCGGAAUUAUUGGGCGUAAAGAGCUCGUAGGCGGUCUGUCGCGUCUGGUGUGAAAUCCCGAGGCUCAACCUCGGGCUUGCAUCGGGUACGGGCAGACUAGAGUGCGGUAGGGGAGACUGGAAUUCCUGGUGUAGCGGUGGAAUGCGCAGAUAUCAUGAGGAACACCGAUGGCGAAGGCAGGUCUCUGGGCCGCAACUGACGCUGAGGAGCGAAAGCAUGGGGAGCGAACAGGAUUAGAUACCCCGGUAGUCCCUGUCUCUUAUAU